RNAcentral lists this long non-coding RNA (1350 nucleotides) under Carassius auratus (goldfish). RNAcentral's name for it is "lncRNA (ENSCARG00000064793.1)". Lineage: Eukaryota; Metazoa; Chordata; Actinopteri; Cypriniformes; Cyprinidae. The record is from RNAcentral.
AAUUUAUAGAACUUAAUAGAAAUUUGAGAACAAUUUUGGUUAAUUUCUAUUUGACAUGUAUACCCUUCUCAUUAUAUAGUAGCAUGCAGAAGUUUGUUGUCUGUAGGAUCUUUUGAUGAUUUUGAAAGAAGUCUCUUAUGUUCACCAAGACUGAAUUUGUUUGAUCAAAAAUACAACACAAUGUGAAAUAUUAUUACAGUUUUAAUAAACGAUAUUGCUUGUAAAUUCCAUUAUCAGCAGUCUUACCAUUGAUUUCAUGCGUUCUUGUUUCACGCUCAUGUCUGUUCUUUGUUUUAUUAUUGAUCAAAGAUUCCUGGAAAAAAAAAAAAAACGUUUUUCACAAAAAAAACGUUUGAAUAUCUAUACAAAUGUAAUUUAUUCCUGUGAUGCAAAGCUGAAUUUUCUUCAGUGUCACAUGAUCCUUCAUAAAUCUUUCUAAUAUGACAUGAAUGCUGAUGCUCAACAAACAGUUUUACUAUUGUCAAUGUUGAAAAAAAAAAUGUGCUGCUUAAUUUUUUUUUUUUACAGGAACCCUUGAUCAAUAAUAAAACAAAACAAAACAAAAAACAGACAUGAGCAUGAAACAAGAGCACAUGAAAUCAAUGGUAAGACUGCUGAUAAUGGAAUUUACAAGCAAAAUUAAAUCAUGAUGGUUUAAUUGCUAUAAGUUGAGACCCUGUGCCACCCUAUGACCCUAUUUUAAGUAAUGUCCUCCAUGUCACCCUCUGUGUGUCUGUCUGUGUGUCUUGCUGUCUGUCUCCUCAGGUGAAGUGUGGAGUGAUAGGGCCCAGGACUGCUCUUUCUUUCACCUUCUUGUCUCCAAAGUGCCAGGCGUUUCACUCAGGGUGAGAGAUGUUAUUGAGGUGUGUGUUAUUCUUGAUGUCAGCCUCCAGCCGGGAGCAGGAGUCAACACAGUUAGUUACAUGCACAGCGCCAUCAGCCUGUCAGUCAAGUCAGCCCUUCCAUUCCCAAAUCAUUAUGUUACAGCAUUAUCCAUGUGGAGAUAAUAUCCUCUUGGGCAAUCAGUCACUGGGUAUGUCGAAAGAACCACACACGUUCAAGCACACUCCUUUAAACAUAAAUUAUUGUCAUCAAUGUCUCUGUGUAACUAAUACAUUUAGACUAUUGAUGUGUUUAUGAAUUUGUAAUAAUUUUUUUUCAAUCAAUUUAUUUUUUCAGGAUUCCUUGAUGAAUAGAAAGUUCAAAAGAACAGCAUUUAUUUGAUAUAGAAUUUUUUAAUUUAAUUUUUUAAUAAUAUUUUAUUCUCUUUACUUUUAUUGUCUUUUUACAAUUUGUCAUCUUUAAUUAAAGUGUCUAUAUAUAUAUAUAUAUAUAUAUAUAUAUAUAUAU